This 478-nucleotide ribosomal RNA is filed under the name uncultured bacterium. RNAcentral describes it as "partial 16S ribosomal RNA". It matches the Rfam family "Bacterial small subunit ribosomal RNA", at positions 28 to 523 of the family's 1533-position model. The record is from RNAcentral.
GACGAACGCUGGCGGCGUGCUUAACACAUGCAAGUCGAACGGUAAGGCCCUUCGGGGUACACGAGUGGCGAACGGGUGAGUAACACGUGGGUGAUCUGCCCUGCACUUCGGGAUAAGCCUGGGAAACUGGGUCUAAUACCGGAUAGGACUCCGGACUGCAUGGUCUGGGGUGGAAAGCUUUUGCGGUGUGGGAUGGGCCCGCGGCCUAUCAGCUUGUUGGUGGGGUGAUGGCCUACCAAGGCGACGACGGGUAGCCGGCCUGAGAGGGUAACCGGCCACAGUGGGGCUGGGAUACGGCCCAGACUCCUACGGGAGGCAGCAGUGGGGAAUAUUGCACAAUGGGCGCAAGCCUGAUGCAGCGACGCCGCGUGAGGGAUGACGGCCUUCGGGUUGUAAACCUCUUUCAGCAUCGACGAAGCGAAAGUGACGGUAGGUGCAGAAGAAGGACCGGCCAACUACGUGCCAGCAGCCGCGGUAA